AAACCGUGCAUUGGGCAUUUCCGCAUAAAGUCUUUAAAUCCCUCCCAAGCUUCAUAAAGGUUUUCAUAUUCCAUUUGCUUGAAAUAUGUGAUGGUGUUCCUCAAUCU
Small nucleolar RNA from Hibiscus syriacus, 107 nucleotides. NCBI's taxonomy places the organism in Eukaryota, Viridiplantae, Streptophyta, Magnoliopsida, Malvales, Malvaceae. The record is from RefSeq and is a predicted model, not a curated record.